RNAcentral lists this ribosomal RNA (477 nucleotides) under uncultured bacterium. RNAcentral describes it as "bacterial SSU rRNA". It matches the Rfam family "Bacterial small subunit ribosomal RNA", at positions 29 to 524 of the family's 1533-position model. The record is from RNAcentral.
AACGAACGCUGGCGGCAUGCCUAACACAUGCAAGUCGAACGGGAUCCUAGCUUGCUAGGUGAGAGUGGCGGACGGGUGAGUAACACGUGGGAAUCUGCCUUUGGUUCGGGAUAACCGCGGGAAACUGCGGCUAAUACCGAAUGCCCUCGAGAGAGGAAAGAUUUAUCGCCAGAAGAGGAGCCCGCGUCCGAUUAGGUAGUUGGUGGGGUAAAGGCCUACCAAGCCGACGAUCGGUAGCUGGUCUGAGAGGAUGAUCAGCCACACUGGGACUGAGAUACGGCCCAGACUCUUACGGGAGGCAGCAGUAGGGAAUAUUGGUCAAUGGAUGCAAGUCUGAACCAGCCAUGCCGCGUGCAGGGAAGAAGGCCUUCUGGGUUGUAAACUGCUUUUGCCAGGGGAUAAAAUUUCCAUGCGUGGGAAACUGAAGGUACCUGGUGAAUAAGCCACGGCUAACUACGUGCCAGCAGCCGCGGUAAU